Molecule: ribosomal RNA, 253 nt
Filed under: uncultured bacterium
Lineage: Bacteria
Description: partial 16S ribosomal RNA
Rfam family: Bacterial small subunit ribosomal RNA
Source: RNAcentral
GACAGAGGGGGCAAGCGUUGCUCGGAAUUACUGGGCGUAAAGGGCGCGUAGGCGGGAUGGCAAGUCGGUCGUGAAAUCCCUCGGCUCAACUGAGGAGCGUCGAUCGAAACUGCCGUUCUUGAGGGUUGCAGAGGAGACUGGAAUUCCCGGUGUGGCGGUGAAAUGUGUAGAGAUCGGGAGGAACACCGGUGGCGAAGGCGGGUCUCUGGACAGUUCCUGACGCUGAGGCACGAAGGCCAGGGGAGCAAACGGG